AUUGACCAUCAUACAGAAACUGUUAAGCAAGUGCCAUCAAGGCCAGCAGUACCCGUAUUAUAUGUCCAGAGAAGAGCCAGGCCAGAUGGGAACUGCGUGAAAGCAACCAGUUAUCUUGCUAAUUAUGCCAGCUAGAACCAGUUGUAUUGCAUUAAAAAAUGUGGAAUCCAACAACUUAGCUGUUCACACUCAAUUAGCAGUGUGCUGGAGAAUGGAAAACUCAAGCAAGGAGUCCAUGUGCUCCGGGAAGUGACAGCUGCUUCCUUACCC
Molecule: long non-coding RNA, 270 nt
Filed under: Pan troglodytes (chimpanzee)
Lineage: Eukaryota; Metazoa; Chordata; Mammalia; Primates; Hominidae
Description: long non-coding RNA NONPTRT001376
Source: RNAcentral